GACGAACGCUGGCGGCGUGCUUAACACAUGCAAGUCGAACGGAAAGGCCCUGCUUGCAGGGUACUCGAGUGGCGAACGGGUGAGUAACACGUGGGUGAUCUGCCCUGCACUUCGGGAUAAGCCUGGGAAACUGGGUCUAAUACCGGAUAGGAGCCAUUUUUAGUGUGAUGGUUGGAAAGUUUUUUCGGUGUAGGAUGAGCUCGCGGGCUAUCAGCUUGUUGGUGGGGUAAUGGCCUACCAAGGCGGCGACGGGUGGCCGGCCUGGGAGGGGGGACGGCCAACUUGGGACCGGGAUAAGGCCCCGGAUCCUACGGGGGGGAGCAGUGGGGAAAAUUGCACAAGGGGCGCAAGCCUGAUGCAGCGACGCCGCGGGGGGGAUGACGGCCUUCGGGUUGUAAACUCAUUUCGCUAGGGACGGAGCUUUGUGUGACGGUACCUAGAGAAGAAGCACCGGCUAACUACGUG
RNAcentral lists this ribosomal RNA (465 nucleotides) under uncultured bacterium. Its description in RNAcentral is "partial 16S ribosomal RNA". It matches the Rfam family "Bacterial small subunit ribosomal RNA", at positions 28 to 507 of the family's 1533-position model. The record is from RNAcentral.